GAUGAACGCUGGCGGCGUGCCUAAUACAUGCAAGUCGAGCGAACAGACGAGGAGCUUGCUCCUCUGACGUUAGCGGCGGACGGGUGAGUAACACGUGGAUAACCUACCUAUAAGACUGGGAUAACUUCGGGAAACCGGAGCUAAUACCGGAUAAUAUAUUGAACCGCAUGGUUCAAUAGUGAAAGACGGUUUUGCUGUCACUUAUAGAUGGAUCCGCGCCGCAUUAACUAGUUGGUAAGGUAACGGCUUACCAAGGCAACGAUGCGUAGCCGACCUGAGAGGGUGAUCGGCCACACUGGAACUGAGACACGGUCCAGACUCCUACGGGAGGCAGCAGUAGGGAAUGGUCCGCGAUGGGCGAAAGCCUGACGGAGCAGCGCAGCGUGAGUGAUGAAGGUCUUCGGAUCGGAAAACUGUGUUAUUAGGGAAGAACAAAUGUGUAAGUAACUAUGCACGUCUUGACGGUACCUAAUCAGAAAGCAACGGCUAACUACGUG
RNAcentral lists this ribosomal RNA (497 nucleotides) under uncultured bacterium. Its description in RNAcentral is "partial 16S ribosomal RNA". It matches the Rfam family "Bacterial small subunit ribosomal RNA", at positions 28 to 507 of the family's 1533-position model. The record is from RNAcentral.